GCGAGGGUGGCGGAAUUGGCAGACGCGUACGGCUUAGGACCGUAUGCCGAAAGGCUUGAGGGUUCAACUCCCUUCCCUCGCA
Molecule: transfer RNA, 82 nt
Filed under: Elusimicrobiota bacterium
Lineage: Bacteria; Pseudomonadati; Elusimicrobiota
Description: Elusimicrobia bacterium (bioreactor metagenome) tRNA-Leu
Rfam family: tRNA
About the family: Transfer RNA (tRNA) molecules are approximately 80 nucleotides in length. Their secondary structure includes four short double-helical elements and three loops (D, anti-codon, and T loops). Further hydrogen bonds mediate the characteristic L-shaped molecular structure. tRNAs have two regions of fundamental functional importance: the anti-codon, which is responsible for specific mRNA codon recognition, and the 3' end, to which the tRNAs corresponding amino acid is attached (by aminoacyl-tRNA synthetases). tRNAs cope with the degeneracy of the genetic code in two manners: having more than one tRNA (with a specific anti-codon) for a particular amino acid; and 'wobble' base-pairing, i.e. permitting non-standard base-pairing at the 3rd anti-codon position.
Source: RNAcentral